UACAGAGGUGGCAAGCGUUGUUCGGAAUUACUGGGCGUAAAGGGCGAGUAGGCGGCCUUCUAAGUCAGACGUGAAAUCCCCCGGCUUAACCUGGGAACUGCGUCUGAUACUGGGAGGCUAGAGUAUGGGAGAGGGAUGUGGAAUUCCAGGUGUAGCGGUGAAAUGCGUAGAUAUCUGGAGGAACACCGGUGGCGAAGGCGGCAUCCUGGACCAUUACUGACGCUGAUUCGCGAAAGCUAGGGGAGCAAACGGG
This 253-nucleotide ribosomal RNA is filed under the name uncultured bacterium. RNAcentral describes it as "partial 16S ribosomal RNA". It matches the Rfam family "Bacterial small subunit ribosomal RNA", at positions 524 to 776 of the family's 1533-position model. The record is from RNAcentral.